AAACCGACGACCUAUUUAUGCAAGAUUCCACUUCAUGGAUGGUCAGUUCCAUUCUCUAGAAUUUGAUGCUUCAGCCACAGCACAUGAUGUAGUUGAACUAAUCAGGCACAAAAUUGGCCUGAAAAAUACAGCAAAAGGCUAUGCCAUCUAUGAAAUGUUGGGCACGACAGAGAGAUGUAUAUUGGCAGAGAGGUUUUAGCUGAUGUAAUGUCUCGGUGGGAACGAUACAGACAGUCCACCACUGCCAAUCAACAACACCCAUCAGCAUCAUCAUCACCAUAUUUUCCUUUUCAAGAAACAUUUGUUGUUAGAAUCAUGGAUGGAUCUAAGUGAUAAUGUCGAAAAAGAACUCUUGUACUUCCAAGUUCUUUACACUUUGCGUGUCUGAUAAGUUCCCCGUGACUCAGAUGGA
Molecule: long non-coding RNA, 412 nt
Organism: Macrobrachium nipponense
Lineage: Eukaryota; Metazoa; Arthropoda; Malacostraca; Decapoda; Palaemonidae
Exons: 3
Source: RefSeq, a predicted model, not a curated record